Maylandia zebra (zebra mbuna) is the source of this 208-nucleotide non-coding RNA. Lineage: Eukaryota; Metazoa; Chordata; Actinopteri; Cichliformes; Cichlidae. The record is from RefSeq and is a predicted model, not a curated record.
ACUGAUCGAAAGAAACGGAGGCAAAGAGAGAAAGCAGAGAAGCGGCAUUUUGUACGGAACAUUAUCAAACGUUAAAGCUUUGUGGCAGGAAGUUGUCAAUCAAGCACCAAAAAUCAAUGACCUGAAAGAAAGAUGGCCUGCUCUUUUUGAUGCAGUUCGGAUAAACCAAGAAUUCAGAAGGAUCACCACUGUUAACCUGGAGACAACA